CGGAGGAUGCAAGCGUUAUCCGGAUUCAUUGGGUUUAAAGGGUGCGUAGGCGGACUAUUAAGUCAGUGGUGAAAGCCUGCAGCUUAACUGCAGAACUGCCAUUGAUACUGAUAGUCUUGAGUUUGGUUAAGGUAAGCGGAAUGUGUAAUGUAGCGGUGAAAUGCUUAGAUAUUACACAGAACACCAAUUGCGUAGGCAGCUUACUGAGCCGACACUGACGCUGAGGCACGAAAGCGUGGGGAUCGAACA
RNAcentral lists this ribosomal RNA (249 nucleotides) under uncultured prokaryote. RNAcentral describes it as "partial 16S ribosomal RNA". It matches the Rfam family "Bacterial small subunit ribosomal RNA", at positions 526 to 774 of the family's 1533-position model. The record is from RNAcentral.